RNAcentral lists this ribosomal RNA (292 nucleotides) under uncultured bacterium. RNAcentral's name for it is "partial 16S ribosomal RNA". It matches the Rfam family "Bacterial small subunit ribosomal RNA", at positions 505 to 796 of the family's 1533-position model. The record is from RNAcentral.
GUGCCAGCAGCCGCGGUAAGACGUAGGGUGCAAGCGUUGUCCGGAUUUACUGGGCGUAAAGAGCGCGUAGGCGGUCUGUUAAGUGAGAAGUGAAAGCUCCGGGCUCAACUCGGAAAUGGCUUUUCAUACUGGCAGACUGGAGUGAUGCAGAGGUUUGUGGAAUUCCUGGUGUAGCGGUGAAAUGCGUUGAUAUCAGGAGGAACACCCAUGGCGAAGGCAGCAAACUGGGCAUUAACUGACGCUGAGGCGCGAAAGCGUGGGUAGCAAACAGGAUUAGAUACCCUGGUAGUCC